RNAcentral lists this ribosomal RNA (924 nucleotides) under uncultured bacterium. RNAcentral's name for it is "bacterial SSU rRNA". It matches the Rfam family "Bacterial small subunit ribosomal RNA", at positions 67 to 1033 of the family's 1533-position model. The record is from RNAcentral.
CGGGAAUCUUCGGAUUCUAGUGGCGGACGGGUGAGUAACGCGUAAGAAUCUAACUUCAGGACGGGGACAACAGUUGGAAACGACUGCUAAUACCCGAUGUGCCGCGAGGUGAAACCUAAUUGGCCUGAAGAAGAGCUUGCGUCUGAUUAGCUAGUUGGUGGGGUAAGAGCCUACCAAGGCGACGAUCAGUAGCUGGUCUGAGAGGAUGAGCAGCCACACUGGGACUGAGACACGGCCCAGACUCCUACGGGAGGCAGCAGUGGGGAAUUUUCCGCAAUGGGCGAAAGCCUGACGGAGCAACGCCGCGUGAGGGAGGAAGGUCUUUGGAUUGUAAACCUCUUUUCUCAAGGAAGAAGUUCUGACGGUACUUGAGGAAUCAGCCUCGGCUAACUCCGUGCCAGCAGCCGCGGUAAUACGGGGGAGGCAAGCGUUAUCCGGAAUUAUUGGGCGUAAAGCGUCCGCAGGUGGUCAGCCAAGUCUGCCGUCAAAUCAGGUUGCUUAACGACCUAAAGGCGGUGGAAACUGGCAGACUAGAGAGCAGUAGGGGUAGCAGGAAUUCCCAGUGUAGCGGUGAAAUGCGUAGAGAUUGGGAAGAACAUCGGUGGCGAAAGCGUGCUACUGGGCUGUAUCUGACACUCAGGGACGAAAGCUAGGGGAGCGAAAGGGAUUAGAUACCCCUGUAGUCCUAGCCGUAAACGAUGGAUACUAGGCGUGGCUUGUAUCGACCCGAGCCGUGCCGAAGCUAACGCGUUAAGUAUCCCGCCUGGGGAGUACGCACGCAAGUGUGAAACUCAAAGGAAUUGACGGGGGCCCGCACAAGCGGUGGAGUAUGUGGUUUAAUUCGAUGCAACGCGAAGAACCUUACCAAGACUUGACAUGUCGCGAACCCNGGNNAAAGCUGGGGGUGCCUUCGGGANCGCGAAC